CGCGUAGGCGGUUUGAUAAGCUGGGUGUGAAAGCCCGGGCUCAACCUGGGAAUUGCAUCCAGAACUGUCUGACUAGAGUAUGGUAGAGGGUAGUGGAAUUUCCUGUGUAGCGGUGAAAUGCGUAGAUAUAGGAAGGAACACCAGUGGCGAAGGCGGCUACCUGGACCAAUACUGACGCUGAGGUGCGAAAGCGUGGGGAGCAAACA
This 206-nucleotide ribosomal RNA is filed under the name uncultured bacterium. Its description in RNAcentral is "partial 16S ribosomal RNA". It matches the Rfam family "Bacterial small subunit ribosomal RNA", at positions 568 to 774 of the family's 1533-position model. The record is from RNAcentral.